CACGACAAAAUGAUAAGAUCUAAGAAAAACUUAGCAAAGAACAAAAGUAAAAUAAUAAUGAGAAUUCAAGAAGAGUUGAAGAUAAAUUACCAGUUUUUGACACUUGACUUCCAAAAAGUACAAACCCUAAUCUAGAAAAAUAGUCAAAACUCAAAAGUGGGGGCACAACAAUUCUUUUGGGUAUCUUUAUGGUUGAGCUUCCUCAACCUUGUUAUAUGCACUGCUCAG
This 228-nucleotide long non-coding RNA is filed under the name Panax ginseng (ginseng). RNAcentral's name for it is "long non-coding RNA (PGIN_LNC002403)". The record is from RNAcentral. Lineage: Eukaryota; Viridiplantae; Streptophyta; Magnoliopsida; Apiales; Araliaceae.